UGAAUACGAGACGCUAAGGCGUCGAAGUAGUGUAUAUCAGACUUCCAAGAAAAGCUUGCACUGUCAUAGAUAAAAAAUGCCUGUACCAUAACCGACACAGGUGGGUAGGUAGAGUAUACUAAGGGGCGCGAGAUAACUCUCUCUAAGGAACUCGGCAAAAUAACUCCGUAACUUCGGGAGAAGGAGUGCCUUAUUUAUAAGGUUGCAAUAACAAGAUCCAAGCAACUGUUUAUCAAAAACACAGGUCUCCGCUAAGUCGUAAGACGAUGUAUGGGGGCAGACGCCUGCCCAGUGCCAGAAGGUUAAAGAAGUUGGUUAGCAAUUGCGAAGCUGAUAACUGAAGCCCUGGUGAACGGCGGCCGUAACAAUAACGGUCCUAAGGUAGCGAAAUUCCUUGUCGGGUAAGUUCCGACCCGCACGAAAGGCGUAAUGAUUUGGAUACUGUCUCGGAGAGGGGCUCGGUGAAAUAGACUUGUCUGUGAAGAUGCGGAUUACCUGCACCAGGACAGAAAGACCCUAUGAAGCCUUACUGUAACUUGAAAUUGAAAUUGGACUUUAUUCGCGCAGCAUAGGUGGGAGGCGUUGAUUAUAAUCUUGCGGGAUUAUUGGAGCCAUCAGUGAGAUACCACUCUUGUAAUGUUAGAUUUCUAACUUUGAAUCAUUAUCUGGUCAAAGAACAGUUUCAGGCGGGCAGUUUGACUGGGGCGGUCGCCUCCUAAAUGGUAACGGAGGCGUACAAAGGUUUCCUCUGAACGGUUAGAAAUCGUAUCUAGAGUGUAAAGGCAUAAGGAAGCUUGACUGUGAGACCUACAAGUCGAGCAGGGACGAAAGUCGGUCUUAGUGAUCUGACGGUACUGAGUGGAAAGGCCGUCACUCAACGGAUAAAAGUUACUCUAAGGAUAACAGGCUGAUCUCCCCCAAGAGUUCACAUCGACGGGGAGGUUUGGCACCUCGAUGUCGGCUCAUCGCAUCCUGGGGCGGUAGUACGUCCCAAGGGUUGGGCUGUUCGCCCAUGAAAGCGGUACGCGAGCUGGGUUCAGAACGUCGUGAGACAGUUCGGUCCAUAUCCGGUGUAGGCGUUAGAAUAUUGAGAGGAGCCUUCUUUAGUACGAGAGGACCGAGAAGGACAUACCUCUGGGGUACCAGUUAUCGUGCCAACGGUAAACGCUGGGUAGCUAUGUAUGGAGUGGAUAACCGCUGAAAGCAUCUAAGUGGGAAGCCCACCUCAAGAUAAGUAUUCUCAUU
RNAcentral lists this ribosomal RNA (1245 nucleotides) under metagenome. Its description in RNAcentral is "bacterial LSU rRNA". It matches the Rfam family "Bacterial large subunit ribosomal RNA", at positions 1564 to 2818 of the family's 2925-position model. The record is from RNAcentral.